UACGUAGGGUGCAGGCGUUAAUCGGAAUUACUGGGCGUAAAGCGCACGUAGGCGGCUUUCUAAGUCAGGGGUGAAAUCCUGGAGCUCAACUCCAGAACUGCCUUUGAUACUGGAGAGCUUGAGUCCGGAAGAGGUGAGUGGAACUCCGAGUGUAGAGGUGAAAUUCGUAGAUAUUCGGAAGAACACCAGUGGCGAAGGCGGCUCACUGGUCCGGUACUGACGCUGAGGUGCGAAAGCGUGGGGAGCAAACAGG
This 253-nucleotide ribosomal RNA is filed under the name uncultured bacterium. RNAcentral's name for it is "partial 16S ribosomal RNA". It matches the Rfam family "Bacterial small subunit ribosomal RNA", at positions 524 to 776 of the family's 1533-position model. The record is from RNAcentral.